This 595-nucleotide ribosomal RNA is filed under the name Curtobacterium sp. Its description in RNAcentral is "bacterial SSU rRNA". It matches the Rfam family "Bacterial small subunit ribosomal RNA", at positions 559 to 1153 of the family's 1533-position model. Lineage: Bacteria; Bacillati; Actinomycetota; Actinomycetes; Micrococcales; Microbacteriaceae. The record is from RNAcentral.
CGUAAGAGCUCGUAGGCGGUUUGUCGCGUCUGCUGUGAAAUCCCGAGGCUCAACCUCGGGCUUGCAGUGGGUACGGGCAGACUAGAGUGCGGUAGGGGAGAUUGGAAUUCCUGGUGUAGCGGUGGAAUGCGCAGAUAUCAGGAGGAACACCGAUGGCGAAGGCAGAUCUCUGGGCCGUAACUGACGCUGAGGAGCGAAAGCGUGGGGAGCGAACAGGAUUAGAUACCCUGGUAGUCCACGCCGUAAACGUUGGGCGCUAGAUGUAGGGACCUUUCCACGGUUUCUGUGUCGUAGCUAACGCAUUAAGCGCCCCGCCUGGGGAGUACGGCCGCAAGGCUAAAACUCAAAGGAAUUGACGGGGGCCCGCACAAGCGGCGGAGCAUGCGGAUUAAUUCGAUGCAACGCGAAGAACCUUACCAAGGCUUGACAUACACCGGAAACGGCCAGAGAUGGUCGCCCCCUUGUGGUCGGUGUACAGGUGGUGCAUGGUUGUCGUCAGCUCGUGUCGUGAGAUGUUGGGUUAAGUCCCGCAACGAGCGCAACCCUCGUUCUAUGUUGCCAGCGCGUUAUGGCGGGGGACUCAUAGGAGACUGCC